AGAACGAACGCUGGCGGCAUGCCUAAUACAUGCAAGUCGAACGGACACUUCGGUGUUAGUGGCGCACGGGUGCGUAACGCGUGGGAAUCUGCCCUUGGGUUCGGAAUAACAGUUGGAAACGACUGCUAAUACCGGAUGAUGACGAAAGUCCAAGAUUUAUCGCCCAGGGAUGAGCCCGCGUAGGAUUAGCUAGUUGGUGAGG
RNAcentral lists this ribosomal RNA (202 nucleotides) under uncultured soil bacterium. Its description in RNAcentral is "partial 16S ribosomal RNA". It matches the Rfam family "Bacterial small subunit ribosomal RNA", at positions 26 to 257 of the family's 1533-position model. The record is from RNAcentral.